GGGCAUAGCUCAGUCGGUUAGAGCGUCGGUCUGUGGCACCGAAGGUCGCGGGUUCAAAUCCCGUUGCUACCCA
This 73-nucleotide transfer RNA is filed under the name Pleurocapsa sp. SU_196_0. RNAcentral describes it as "tRNA-His". It matches the Rfam family "tRNA". Rfam says of the family: Transfer RNA (tRNA) molecules are approximately 80 nucleotides in length. Their secondary structure includes four short double-helical elements and three loops (D, anti-codon, and T loops). Further hydrogen bonds mediate the characteristic L-shaped molecular structure. tRNAs have two regions of fundamental functional importance: the anti-codon, which is responsible for specific mRNA codon recognition, and the 3' end, to which the tRNAs corresponding amino acid is attached (by aminoacyl-tRNA synthetases). tRNAs cope with the degeneracy of the genetic code in two manners: having more than one tRNA (with a specific anti-codon) for a particular amino acid; and 'wobble' base-pairing, i.e. permitting non-standard base-pairing at the 3rd anti-codon position. Lineage: Bacteria; Bacillati; Cyanobacteriota; Cyanophyceae; Pleurocapsales; Pleurocapsaceae. The record is from RNAcentral.